GAUGAACACUGGCGGCGUGCUUAACACAUGCAAGUCGAACGGAAAGGCCUCUGCUUGCAGGGGUACUCGAGUGGCGAACGGGUGAGUAACACGUGGGUGAUCUGCCCUGCACUUCGGGAUAAGCCUGGGAAACUGGGUCUAAUACCGGAUAGGACAAUGGUUUGGAUGCUGUUGUGGAAAGUUUUUCGGUGUGGGAUGAGCUCGCGGCCUAUCAGCUUGUUGGUGGGGUAAUGGCCUACCAAGGCGUCGACGGGUAGCCGGCCUGAGAGGGUGUACGGCCACAUUGGGACUGAGAUACGGCCCAGACUCCUACGGGAGGCAGCAGUGGGGAAUAUUGCACAAUGGGCGCAAGCCUGAUGCAGCGACGCCGCGUGGGGGAUGACGGCCUUCGGGUUGUAAACUCCUUUCGCUAGGGACGAAGCGUUUUUGUGACGGUACCUGGAGAAGAAGCACCGGCUAACUACGUG
This 467-nucleotide ribosomal RNA is filed under the name uncultured bacterium. RNAcentral describes it as "partial 16S ribosomal RNA". It matches the Rfam family "Bacterial small subunit ribosomal RNA", at positions 28 to 507 of the family's 1533-position model. The record is from RNAcentral.